This is a long non-coding RNA of Phyllostomus hastatus (greater spear-nosed bat), 209 nucleotides long. RefSeq lists it as uncharacterized. The transcript is spliced from 3 exons. NCBI's taxonomy places the organism in Eukaryota, Metazoa, Chordata, Mammalia, Chiroptera, Phyllostomidae. The record is from RefSeq and is a predicted model, not a curated record.
UCACAAUAUAAGUAAUUCCAAGCCAGAGAUGAAGAAGUUGGGGUUUACACACACUCAAAAGUUUGGCCAAGGUCAUAUUAACCUACAUUUUUAGAAGAACAAUGUGCCAAAUGUUGUCAAAGAGUCUUCAUACAAAACCAGCUCUACACUUGGACACGGCUUCCAUCAAGAAGGGGGGUCUGCAUUCUCUCCACUGAAUCUGGUUGUCA